Molecule: ribosomal RNA, 305 nt
Filed under: uncultured bacterium
Lineage: Bacteria
Description: bacterial SSU rRNA
Rfam family: Bacterial small subunit ribosomal RNA
Source: RNAcentral
CCUACGGGACGCAGCAGUGGGGAAUAUUGCACAAUGGGGGAAACCCUGACCCAGCAACGCCGCGUGAAGGAAGAAGGCUUUCGGGUUGUAAACUUCUUUUCUCAGGGACGAAGAAAGUGACGGUACCUGAGGAAUAAGCCACGGCUAACUACGUGCCAGCAGCCGCGGUAAUACGUAGGUGGCAAGCGUUAUCCGGAUUUACUGGGUGUAAAGGGCGUGUAGGCGGGACUGCAAGUCAGAUGUGAAAACCACGGGCUCAACCUGUGGCCUGCAUUUGAAACUGUAGUUCUUGAGUACUGGAGAGG